AGUGAACGCUGGCGGUAGGCCUAACACAUGCAAGUCGAACGGCAGCACAGUAAGAGCUUGCUCUUACGGGUGGCGAGUGGCGGACGGGUGAGGUAUACAUCGGAAUCUACUUUUUCGUGGGGGAUAACGCAGGGAAACUUACGCUAAUACCGCAUACGACCUACGGGUGAAAGCAGGGGAUCUUCGGACCUUGUGCGAUUGAAUGAGCCGAUGUCGGAUUAGCUAGUUGGCGGGGUAAAGGCCCACCAAGGCGACGAUCCGUAGCUGGUCUGACAGGAUGUUCAGCCACACUGGAACUGAGACACGGUCCAGACUCCUACGGGAGGCAGCAGUGGGGAAUAUUGGACAAUGGGCGCGAGCCUGAUCCAGCCAUACCGCGUGGGUGAAGAAGGCCUUCGGGUUGUAAAGCCCUUUUGUUGGGAAAGAAAAGCAGCAGGUUAAUACCCCGCUGUUCUGACGGUACCCAAAGAAUAAGCACCGGCUAACUUCGUG
RNAcentral lists this ribosomal RNA (492 nucleotides) under uncultured bacterium. RNAcentral's name for it is "partial 16S ribosomal RNA". It matches the Rfam family "Bacterial small subunit ribosomal RNA", at positions 29 to 507 of the family's 1533-position model. The record is from RNAcentral.